GGUCCUGUAGUUCAAUGGAUAGAACAAGACACUCCUAACGUCUAAAUCCAGGUUCGAUUCUUGGCGGGGCCA
This 72-nucleotide transfer RNA is filed under the name Candidatus Magasanikbacteria bacterium CG_4_10_14_0_2_um_filter_41_10. RNAcentral's name for it is "tRNA-Arg". It matches the Rfam family "tRNA". Rfam says of the family: Transfer RNA (tRNA) molecules are approximately 80 nucleotides in length. Their secondary structure includes four short double-helical elements and three loops (D, anti-codon, and T loops). The record is from RNAcentral. Lineage: Bacteria; Candidatus Magasanikiibacteriota. RNAcentral also lists the same sequence under 1 other name.